This 465-nucleotide ribosomal RNA is filed under the name uncultured Klebsiella sp. Its description in RNAcentral is "bacterial SSU rRNA". It matches the Rfam family "Bacterial small subunit ribosomal RNA", at positions 338 to 795 of the family's 1533-position model. Lineage: Bacteria; Pseudomonadati; Pseudomonadota; Gammaproteobacteria; Enterobacterales; Enterobacteriaceae. The record is from RNAcentral.
CCUACGGGGGGCAGCAGUGGGGAAUAUUGCACAAUGGGCGCAAGCCUGAUGCAGCCAUGCCGCGUGUGUGAAGAAGGCCUUCGGGUUGUAAAGCACUUUCAGCGGGGAGGAAGGCGGUGAGGUUAAUAACCUCAUCGAUUGACGUUACCCGCAGAAGAAGCACCGGCUAACUCCGUGCCAGCAGCCGCGGUAAUACGGAGGGUGCAAGCGUUAAUCGGAAUUACUGGGCGUAAAGCGCACGCAGGCGGUCUGUCAAGUCGGAUGUGAAAUCCCCGGGCUCAACCUGGGAACUGCAUUCGAAACUGGCAGGCUAGAGUCUUGUAGAGGGGGGUAGAAUUCCAGGUGUAGCGGUGAAAUGCGUAGAGAUCUGGAGGAAUACCGGUGGCGAAGGCGCCCCCCUGGACAAAGACUGACGCUCAGGUGCGAAAGCGUGGGGAGCAAACAGGAUUAGAUACCCUAGUAGUC